UGCCCUUAAGAAACAGCGAUACUUUACUUACUUUUUAGGGUUCGUCAAUUGUACGUGAUUACAAGACAGCUAGAAUCGUUUUCCUUCUGAAACCCUUGUUUUUCUUAUGUUCAAUUAAACAUUGAAAGUAAUAAUAUUGCCAUUGACUGCAAAUGCUAUAAAAACUGAAAAUCAUUCAGAAUGUAAAAGUGAAAGAAAUGUAAUAUCAUCUUCCACAAAAAGGUCUUUAAAGAUAAAGAUUAUUCAAAAUACAGCAGUGAAGAUGAUUCUUCUGGAUUAAAUGAUGAGGAAUGGGCAAGCUCUGAUGACAAUAAAGAUAAGCAGAAGAAAGGGGAUAUCCAAGACCACCCUACGAUUAAAGAUAAGAUCUAUGAUUGUGAAACAUUUGCAGGAUUUAGGAUAUCUGAGGCAUAUGAGGGAGAUAAAAUAAAAGAAGGACAAAGAGUUGUGCUAAAUCCAGAAGUCCUUACAAAAAACAGCGACACUCAAAGAAGAAAC
Molecule: long non-coding RNA, 498 nt
Organism: Saccostrea cuccullata (small rock oyster)
Lineage: Eukaryota; Metazoa; Mollusca; Bivalvia; Ostreida; Ostreidae
Exons: 4
Source: RefSeq, a predicted model, not a curated record